This 433-nucleotide ribosomal RNA is filed under the name uncultured bacterium. Its description in RNAcentral is "partial 16S ribosomal RNA". It matches the Rfam family "Bacterial small subunit ribosomal RNA", at positions 29 to 507 of the family's 1533-position model. The record is from RNAcentral.
AACGAACGCUGGCGGUAUGCCUAACACAUGCAAGUCGAACGGGACCUUCGUGAGUAGUGGCGCUUGCGUGCGUAACGCGUGGGAACCUGCCCGUAGGUUCCGAAUACCUCUCCGACAGGGGUGCUAAUACCGGAAAAUGUCCUCUGACCAAAGAUAUAUCGUCCUUGGAUGGGCCGGCGUUGUUUUGGCUUGUUGGUAGGGUAAAAGCCUACCAAGGCUACGAUCCCUAGCUGGUCUGAGGGGAUGAGCAGCCACACUGAGGCUGAGACGCGGUCCAGACUCCUAGGGGAGGCGGCAGAGGGUAAUAUAGGACAAUGGCGGAAAGACUGAUCCAGCACUGCCGGGUAAGCGCUGAGGGCCUUAGGGAUGAAAAGCUCGUUUAUCCGGGAUGGUAAUGACAGUACCGGGAGAAUAAGCACCGGCUAACUCCGUG